This 165-nucleotide unclassified non-coding RNA is filed under the name uncultured Hygrophorus. RNAcentral describes it as "sequence contains ITS1". The record is from RNAcentral. Lineage: Eukaryota; Fungi; Basidiomycota; Agaricomycetes; Agaricales; Hygrophoraceae.
UUGAAAUAAACCUGAUGGGUUGUAGCUGGUCUUCGCAAGAUGACAAUGUGCACACCUUUAUUCAUCAAUCACACCCUGUGCACCUUUUGUAGACUUUGUUGUCUAUGUUUUUCAUAUACACACUCCAUAAAGUUUAGAAUGUUUUGGUUUUGGAAAUAAUUAAUA